This 253-nucleotide ribosomal RNA is filed under the name uncultured bacterium. RNAcentral's name for it is "partial 16S ribosomal RNA". It matches the Rfam family "Bacterial small subunit ribosomal RNA", at positions 524 to 776 of the family's 1533-position model. The record is from RNAcentral.
UACAGAGGGUGCAAGCGUUAAUCGGAAUUACUGGGCGUAAAGGGCGCGUAGGCGGUUAGGUAAGUCGGAUGUGAAAUCCCCGGGCUCAACCUGGGAAUUGCAUUCGAUACUGCUUAGCUAGAGUGUGGAAGAGGGAAGCGGAAUUUCCGGUGUAGCGGUGAAAUGCGUAGAUAUCGGAAGGAACACCAGUGGCGAAGGCGGCUUCCUGGUCCAACACUGACGCUGAGGCGCGAAAGCGUGGGGAGCGAACAGG